GGAGGAAUACCCAAGCGGUUGAAGGGGCUCGCCUGGAAAGCGGGUAGGUCGUGAAUAGCGGCGCGAGGGUUCAAAUCCCUCUUCCUCCGCCA
RNAcentral lists this transfer RNA (92 nucleotides) under Clostridiales bacterium. RNAcentral's name for it is "tRNA-Ser". It matches the Rfam family "tRNA". From Rfam's summary of the family: Transfer RNA (tRNA) molecules are approximately 80 nucleotides in length. Their secondary structure includes four short double-helical elements and three loops (D, anti-codon, and T loops). The record is from RNAcentral. Lineage: Bacteria; Bacillati; Bacillota; Clostridia; Eubacteriales.